This is a long non-coding RNA of Xiphophorus maculatus (southern platyfish), 555 nucleotides long. RefSeq lists it as uncharacterized. The transcript has 3 exons. NCBI's taxonomy places the organism in Eukaryota, Metazoa, Chordata, Actinopteri, Cyprinodontiformes, Poeciliidae. The record is from RefSeq and is a predicted model, not a curated record.
AGUGUGAUGUUAUUACACUAGAUUGUAAAGUGAGAAGCUAUUCCGGUAGGAAAUUAUAUGAGCACCGACAGCUUUUAUUUUGAAAAGACGACCAAUCCAUUUCAAAACAGUGGGUAAUUUCCUGUCCCGAAAUUAUUAUCUUCAUUCAAAUUUAAUAUGUUGUGAACAAAACUGUGAAUUAUUACCUUUAAUGUUUAACAUAUUGAGUUCAUAGAUUGUUGUUUAAAGUAUCAGUUCGAAAUUUAAAAAGAAAAGUUAUCGGGUCAUACCAUUAUAACCUGUGAAAGGUUUUCCCACGCUUUCCGUCGCGCUCUUUCUGUUCGGAUCCCGUGGGAGAAGGCGCUGUGGAACACUGUGAAAAGAAAAGCCUGUUCUUGAUUACUAUUUUCUGCCAUUUGAAUGCAGGAUCAUUAAAAGUGCUUUCCAAUCAGCUGUGGUCUGGCUGUGGUCACUCUUCUACAAGACACAACGCAGAAUCAACUACGCUACAAAACUGGUGCCGUGACCCGUCGUCUGGUCAGCUGAAGCCGACCGCUGGUGUUGUUGGUCGACGCC